RNAcentral lists this small RNA (627 nucleotides) under Pongo abelii (Sumatran orangutan). Its description in RNAcentral is "processed transcript". The record is from RNAcentral. Lineage: Eukaryota; Metazoa; Chordata; Mammalia; Primates; Hominidae.
UCCCUGCACAGAUCCAGGCUGUCUCUUGCAGUGCGCAUGCACCUACCGUAUCGUUAUCAACGUCGCCCAGGCAGAUUGCGUGCGGGAAGAGGCUCCCGCUGAACUCCAGCGCCACGCGCUGCACGUAGCUAACUGACCUCAUGGCACCUCCAAGAGCAGAGGGAGCGGGGAGGCCCAGUAAAUGUUCCCCGAACCCCCGUCGCAACAGCCGCCAGAGCGGAAGACCACCUAAGGCAGAAAGUUACGUCACUGCCUGAACCUCCAAUCUCUGCCUCUUCCUCCUUUAACCUUACUGAGGAGGCGGGUCUUCCGGGCUUGGAGGCGGGCUUACCAACUCUGAUGUGCAGCAAGACUUGGUUUGAAAAAGGAGACAAAAGGCUGAGAGAUCUGAGUUCAAGUUUCCGCUGUAUGAAUGAAGAUACCCAGCAGAUGUGUGCCAAGAUUCUACAAAUGGUACAUACGGAGUGUUCUCACCCAAAAAGAUACCAACUUGGGCAUGGAAAGACCUGUUUCUCCUGGACUCCUGGAUGUGCCAGGCAUCGAGACAGGGAAGACCCACUGAGGUCUUCAGGAUUUGCCCAUCACCCUGGGGACUGUCUGGCCUGCUGGCAGGUGACAGUGGCCUGU